CCUACGGGAUGCAGCAGUGGGGAAUAUUGCACAAUGGGCGCAAGCCUGAUGCAGCCAUGCCGCGUGUGUGAAGAAGGCCUUCGGGUUGUAAAGCACUUUCAGCGGGGAGGAAGGCGGUGAGGUUAAUAACCUCAUCGAUUGACGUUACCCGCAGAAGAAGCACCGGCUAACUCCGUGCCAGCAGCCGCGGUAAUACGGAGGGUGCAAGCGUUAAUCGGAAUUACUGGGCGUAAAGCGCACGCAGGCGGUCUGUCAAGUCGGAUGUGAAAUCCCCGGGCUCAACCUGGGAACUGCAUUCGAAACUGGCAGGCUAGAGUCUUGUAGAGGGGGAUAGAAUUCCAGGCGUAGCGGUGAAAUGCGUAGAGAUCUGGAGGAAUACCGGUGGCGAAGGCGGCCCCCUGGACAAAGACUGACGCUGAGGAGCGAAAGCGUGGGGAGCAAACAGGAUUAGAUACCCCCGUAGUU
RNAcentral lists this ribosomal RNA (465 nucleotides) under uncultured bacterium. RNAcentral's name for it is "bacterial SSU rRNA". It matches the Rfam family "Bacterial small subunit ribosomal RNA", at positions 338 to 795 of the family's 1533-position model. The record is from RNAcentral.